GAUCAUGGCUCAGAUUGAACGCUGGCGGCAGGCCUAACACAUGCAAGUCGAACGGUAACAGGAAGAAGCUUGCUUCUUUGCUGACGAGUGGCGGACGGGUGAGUAAUGUCUGGGAAACUGCCUGAUGGAGGGGGAUAACUACUGGAAACGGUAGCUAAUACCGCAUAACGUCGCAAGACCAAAGAGGGGGACCUCGGCCGUCCUUCGUCCACUCGGAGUGCGCCCGACGAUGGGAGUUAGUCUAGUAAGGG
This 251-nucleotide ribosomal RNA is filed under the name uncultured bacterium. RNAcentral describes it as "partial 16S ribosomal RNA". It matches the Rfam family "Bacterial small subunit ribosomal RNA", at positions 15 to 263 of the family's 1533-position model. The record is from RNAcentral.